UACGGAGGGUGCAAGCGUUAUCCGGAUUCACUGGGUUUAAAGGGUGCGUAGGCGGGUAAGUAAGUCCGUGGUGAAAUCUCUGAGCUUAACUCAGAAACUGCCGUGGAUACUAUUUGCCUUGAAUAUUGUGGAGGUGAGCGGAAUAUGUCAUGUAGCGGUGAAAUGCUUAGAUAUGACGUAGAACACCAAUUGCGAAGGCAGCUCACUACACAAUCAUUGACGCUGAGGCACGAAAGCGUGGGGAUCAAACAGG
Molecule: ribosomal RNA, 253 nt
Filed under: uncultured bacterium
Lineage: Bacteria
Description: partial 16S ribosomal RNA
Rfam family: Bacterial small subunit ribosomal RNA
Source: RNAcentral